This 465-nucleotide ribosomal RNA is filed under the name Vreelandella stevensii. RNAcentral's name for it is "partial 16S ribosomal RNA". It matches the Rfam family "Bacterial small subunit ribosomal RNA", at positions 338 to 795 of the family's 1533-position model. Lineage: Bacteria; Pseudomonadati; Pseudomonadota; Gammaproteobacteria; Oceanospirillales; Halomonadaceae. The record is from RNAcentral.
CCUACGGGAGGCUGCAGUGGGGAAUAUUGGACAAUGGGGGCAACCCUGAUCCAGCCAUGCCGCGUGUGUGAAGAAGGCCCUCGGGUUGUAAAGCACUUUCAGUGAGGAAGAACGCCUGGUGGUUAAUACCCAUCAGGAAAGACAUCACUCACAGAAGAAGCACCGGCUAACUCCGUGCCAGCAGCCGCGGUAAUACGGAGGGUGCGAGCGUUAAUCGGAAUUACUGGGCGUAAAGCGCGCGUAGGUGGCUUGAUAAGCCGGUUGUGAAAGCCCCGGGCUCAACCUGGGAACGGCAUCCGGAACUGUCAAGCUAGAGUGCAGGAGAGGAAGGCAGAAUUCCCGGUGUAGCGGUGAAAUGCGUAGAGAUCGGGAGGAAUACCAGUGGCGAAGGCGGCCUUCUGGACUGACACUGACACUGAGGUGCGAAAGCGUGGGUAGCAAACAGGAUUAGAUACCCGAGUAGUC